CAGUCGCCGCGGUAACACGUAGGGUGCGAGCGUUAAUCGGAAUUACUGGGCGUAAAGCGUGCGCAGGCGGUUGUGUAAGACAGGUGUGAAAUCCCCGGGCUUAACCUGGGAACUGCGCUUGUGACUGCACAGCUAGAGUAUGGCAGAGGGGGGUGGAAUUCCACGUGUAGCAGUGAAAUGCGUAGAGAUGUGGAGGAACACCGAUGGCGAAGGCAGCCCCCUGGGCCAAUACUGACGCUCAUGCACGGAAGCGUGGGGAGCAAACAGGAUUAGAUACCCGAGUAGUCCCUGUCUCUUAUAA
Molecule: ribosomal RNA, 301 nt
Filed under: uncultured bacterium
Lineage: Bacteria
Description: partial 16S ribosomal RNA
Rfam family: Bacterial small subunit ribosomal RNA
Source: RNAcentral